UUCCGGUUGAUCCCGCCGCCGGCCACUGCUAUCAGGUCUCGACUAAGCCAUGCGAGUCUAGGGGUCGCAAGACCCCGGCGUACCGCUCAGUAACACGCGGAUAAUCUACCCCCGGGUGAGGUAUAACCUCGGGAAACUGAGGAUAAUCCCUCAUAGUUAUCAUAUGCUGGAAUGCUUUGAUGAUGAAAGCCUUUACGCCUGAGGAUGAGUCUGCGGCCUAUCAGGUCGUAUGUGAUGUAAAGGACCACAUAGCCUAGGACGGGUACGGGCCCUGGGAGGGGUAGCCCGGAGAUGGACUCUGAGACAUCAGUCCAGGCCCUACGGGGCGCAGCAGGCGCGAACACUGUGCAAUGCGCGAAAGCGCGACACGGGGAGCUUGAGUGUCUUGGCAUAGCCAAGACUUUUCUCAUUCCUAAAAAGCAUGAGGAAUAAGUGCUGGGUAAGACGGGUGCCAGCCGCCGCGGUAACACCCGCAGCACAAGUGGUGGUCACUUUUAUUGAGCCUAAAGCGUUCGUAGCCGGUUUUGUAAAUCUUUAGAUAAAGCCUGAAGCUUAACUCCAGAAAGUCUGAAGAGACUGCAAGACUUGAGAUCGGGUGAGGUUAAACGUACUUUCAGGGUAGGGGUAAAAUCCUGUAAUCCCGGAAGGACGACCAGUGGCGAAAACGUUUAACUAGAACGAAUCUGACGGUAAGGAACGAAGGCUAGGGUAGCAAACCGGAUUAGAUACCCGGGUAGUCCUAGCUGUAAACACUGCCCAUUUGAUGUUGCUUUUCCGUUGAGGGAAGGCAGUGUCGGAGCGAAGGUGUUAAAUGGGCCGCUUGGGAAGUAUGGUCGCAAGACUGAAACUUAAAGGAAUUGGCGGGGGAGCACCGCAACGGGAGGAAUGUGCGGUUUAAUUGGAUUCACCGCCGGGA
RNAcentral lists this ribosomal RNA (916 nucleotides) under uncultured archaeon. RNAcentral's name for it is "bacterial SSU rRNA". It matches the Rfam family "Archaeal small subunit ribosomal RNA", at positions 1 to 923 of the family's 1478-position model. The record is from RNAcentral.